CGCUUUCAGCCCAACUAAUUGAAAGUCCGACCUGCCCAGUGAAUUUUUAACGGCCGCGGUAUCCUGACCGUGCUAAGGUAGCAUAAUCCCUUGCCUUUUAAUUGAUGGCUAGUAUGAAUGGUCAGACGAAUGUAAAAUUGUCUCUAGUAAGCCCUCUAAAACCUAACCUUUAGGUGCAAAGGCCUAAACCUCUAAGGAGGACAAAAAGACCCUAUCGAGCUUUACAUCAACUAAGCCAAUCUAGCUUACUCAUUGUUUUGUUGGGGCAACAAAGGAACAAAUAAACCUUCCUUCCUCUCCAUCCCGAUAAACCAACAAACCGAUUUUAUCUACUAAAACAAAAGCUACCGUAGGGAUAACAGACUAAUCCCCCCUGAGAGCUCCCAUUGACGGGGAGGCUUGGCACCUCGAUGUUGGCUUAGGGCAUCAUUAAGAAGCAGCCUUCUUAAUUGUAGGUUUGUUCAACCUUUAAUAGCCCUA
This 480-nucleotide ribosomal RNA is filed under the name Themiste alutacea. RNAcentral's name for it is "partial 16S ribosomal RNA". It matches the Rfam family "Bacterial large subunit ribosomal RNA", at positions 1817 to 2598 of the family's 2925-position model. Lineage: Eukaryota; Metazoa; Annelida; Sipuncula; Golfingiida; Themistidae. The record is from RNAcentral.